This 377-nucleotide ribosomal RNA is filed under the name uncultured eukaryote. Its description in RNAcentral is "partial 18S ribosomal RNA". It matches the Rfam family "Eukaryotic small subunit ribosomal RNA", at positions 592 to 976 of the family's 1831-position model. The record is from RNAcentral.
CAAUAGCGUAUAUUUAAGUUGCUGCAGUUAAAAAGCUCGUAGUUGGAUUUCGGGUGGGAAUGGCCGGUCCGCCGUUUCGGUGUGCACUUGCUACGCCCACCUUGCUGCCGGGGACGUGCUCUUGAGUUCACGCUCGGGACACGGAGUCGGCGAGGUUACUUUGAGUAAAUUAGAGUGCUCAAAGCAGGCCUACGCUCUGAAUACAUUAGCAUGGAAUAACACGAUAGGACUCUGGCCUAUCUUGUUGGUCUGUAGGACCGGAGUAAUGAUUAAGAGGGACAGUCGGGGGCACUCGUAUUUCAUUGUCAGAGGUGAAAUUCUUGGAUUUAUGAAAGACGAACUACUGCGAAAGCAUUUGCCAAGGAUGUUUUCAUUAA